Molecule: unclassified non-coding RNA, 329 nt
Filed under: soil metagenome
Description: partial contains 5.8S ribosomal RNA, internal transcribed spacer 2, and large subunit ribosomal RNA
Rfam family: 5.8S ribosomal RNA (bases 1-120)
Source: RNAcentral
GAUGAAGAACGCAGUGAAAUGCGAUAAGUAGUGUGAAUUGCAGAAUUCAGUGAAUCAUCGAAUCUUUGAACGCACAUUGCGCCCUCUGGUAUUCCGGGGGGCAUGCCUGUUCGAGCGUCAUUAUAACCACUCAAGCUCUCGCUUGGUAUUGGGGUUCGCGGUUUCGCGGCCCCUAAAAUCAGUGGCGGUGCCUGUCGGCUCUACGCGUAGUAAUACUUCUCGCGAUUGAGUUCGAUAGGUCUACUUGCCAGUAACCCCCAAUUUUUACAGGUUGACCUCGGAUCAGGUCGGGAUACCCGCUGAACUUAAGCAUAUCAAUAAGCGGAGGA